AUUACCGCGGCUGCUGGCACGUAGUUAGCCGGGGCUUCUUCUGCAGGUACAGUCUCGUCUCUUCCCUGCUGAAAGCGGUUUACGACCCGAAGGCCUCCGUCCCGCACGCGGCGUCGCUGCGUCAGGGUUGCCCCCAUUGCACAAGAUUCCCCACUGCUGCCUCCCGUAGG
This 170-nucleotide ribosomal RNA is filed under the name uncultured bacterium. RNAcentral's name for it is "partial 16S ribosomal RNA". The record is from RNAcentral.